This 482-nucleotide ribosomal RNA is filed under the name uncultured Desulfobulbus sp. Its description in RNAcentral is "bacterial SSU rRNA". It matches the Rfam family "Bacterial small subunit ribosomal RNA", at positions 910 to 1382 of the family's 1533-position model. Lineage: Bacteria; Pseudomonadati; Thermodesulfobacteriota; Desulfobulbia; Desulfobulbales; Desulfobulbaceae. The record is from RNAcentral.
GGAAAGUUGACGGGGCCCGGCACAAGCGGUGGAGUAUGUGGUUAAUUCGAUGCAACGCGAAGAACCUUACCUGGUCUUGACAUCCCGGAGACCCUUAGGAAACUAGGGGUGCUUCCAUCUGGAAGAAUCUGGAGACAGGUGCUGCAUGGCUGUCGUCAGCUCGUGUCGUGAGAUGUUGGGUUAAGUCCCGCAACGAGCGCAACCCUUGCCUUUAGUUGCCAGCAGUUCGGCUGGGCACUCUAAAGGGACUGCCGGUGUUAAACCGGAGGAAGGUGGGGAUGACGUCAAGUCCUCAUGGCCUUUAUGACCAGGGCUACACACGUACUACAAUGGCCGAUACAAAGGGCAGCGACACUGCGAGGUGAAGCCAAUCCCGUAAAAUCGGUCUCAGUCCGGAUUGGAGUCUGCAACUCGACUCCAUGAAGUUGGAAUCGCUAGUAAUCGUGGAUCAGCAUGCCACGGUGAAUACGUUCCCGGGCCUU